AUGUAUAUGUAUAUAUAAAGGGAUAUAGAUAGACUGCCGAGUACUAUUGAUUGUAUAUAUGUAUGUUUUAAUGCAAAUGCAAAUAUACAUAACUUGAUUUUUAUUAAGAGUAAUUUCAUCUUUUUGUAAGACAGAGAAACCAGGUAAUAUAUAAGUAGUCUUCCUUGUUUACUCUUUUAGCAAAUUUCUUCUUUAUCCUUUCCAGCUUUCUUGUCAACAACUUUAUAUGACAGUAUAUGUAAAGCUAUUAAUAUUUAUUAAUAUUUUUAUCUAAUAAGAUAACAAGACUUAACAGGACCUGGAUUGUCUUUAAGAAUAUUAACACAAAUCUCAUUAUUAACAACAGCUGAAGCCUUAUCAUAAACCAUUAAUCUUUUGCCUGAGCUAUUUUUGAUGAUGUGUUAAAGGCGUCAUCUGUAACAAGGAGACAUUUUUCACAUAGAAAUUUAGUGUAAGGGUAUACACACAUAUUCCUGGUGGAAUUUUAUCAAUACAAACUUUCCCCAUGCUCACUGCAACGAAGACGCUAGAGCUCCAGCAACAUGUCCAGGAUAGGAGAGCACUGCGUUGGGCUCUCUCAAACUCGCGUACAAGUGCCAAGAACACCAGGUACUUGGCAGAGUCUUCAGGAUUCAAUAUGUGAUGACCCAAUGCUUCCCUGACCUUCUGACCUUCAACAGGAAAAAUGGUGAAGGUAAAACAGGUCAAAUGUUCACACAAAGUCAGAAAUCACGGUAUGGAAACACACGUAGUGGAACCACCAGAUGUGGAACUCCUCCUUCACGCAAUGGAAGACCCCUUCCUGAGGGCAAUCAGAGAUAUGCUUCACUCAAUAAAGACACGCCUCUUGGCUCCUCUGUACCGCCGCCUACGGGAAGGUCUCGAGCCACCAGCAUAGAAUCACUAGAACUCAGCUCCUAACAUGACAGGGGUGACUGAUCUGAUAGACUCGAGGUUACCAUGAUGGCCUUUCUUCUUGUUGUGAUGUACUGGAAAGUUUGUUGAGAUUCCCAUCUAUAAAGUUUGUCUAUGAAGCAGUGUGUGUGUUAUAUUUUGAGAAACAUUUUUUUCUCCUGUAUUCACUAAUCCAGCUGAAAAUACCAUGUUUACCUUUGUCACUUUGUAUCAAAACAAUAUUUUCUCCUAGAUAUUCAAGAUAUUUUAAAGUGACACUUGUAAACAUUAGUUGGAUUAAUUACUUUAUAGUUUGAUUAGAUCACUUGAUUUUUUAUAGGAGCACAUAGGGAUCAUCCCUUUAGAGUGAGAAUCACUGUAUAUUGCUUACGUACUUCACUGAGUUGACAUCACAUAUAAAUACAGAACAAUACUGUAAUGAUAGUUGGUCUGUUUUUCAAGUGAACGUUGACAUUUUCUCCUGCACUCUAUUGUAUAUAACUAUGAUAGAUUUCCACUUUUUCUUCUAUUUCCUUUUUUAUUUUUUUUUUGUGUGAAGUGAGUAAAGAUU
This 1465-nucleotide unclassified non-coding RNA is filed under the name Penaeus japonicus. RNAcentral describes it as "uncharacterized LOC122248529, transcript variant X1". Lineage: Eukaryota; Metazoa; Arthropoda; Malacostraca; Decapoda; Penaeidae. The record is from RNAcentral.